CUCCAGCUGACGAGUCCCAAAUAGGACGAAACACGCGUCCUGGAU
Schistosoma mansoni is the source of this 45-nucleotide non-coding RNA. The record is from Rfam. NCBI's taxonomy places the organism in Eukaryota, Metazoa, Platyhelminthes, Trematoda, Strigeidida, Schistosomatidae.